RNAcentral lists this microRNA (25 nucleotides) under Equus caballus (horse). Its description in RNAcentral is "eca-miR-9079". Lineage: Eukaryota; Metazoa; Chordata; Mammalia; Perissodactyla; Equidae. The record is from miRBase by way of RNAcentral.
UGUUGCAGUUCGUCAUCAACCUGUG